AAUUUUCCGCAAUGGGCGAAAGCCUGACGGAGCAACGCCGCGUGAGGGAAGAAGGUCUUCGGAUCGUAAACCUUUGUCAUCGGGGACGAUCAUGACGGUACCCGAGGAGGAAGCCCCGGCUAACUACGUGCCAGCAGCCGCGGUAAUACGUAGGGGGCGAGCGUUGUCCGGAAUUACUGGGCGUAAAGGGCGCGUAGGCGGCCCAAUAAGUCAGAUGUGAAAAACCUGGGCUUAACCGAGGUCUUGCAUUUGAAACUGUUGGGCUUGAGGACAGGAGAGGAAAGCGGAAUUCCCAGUGUAGCGGUGAAAUGCGUAGAUAUUGGGAGGAACACCAGUGGCGAAGGCGGCUUUCUGGACUGACCCUGACGCUGAGGCGCGAAAGCCAGGGGAGCGAACGGG
Molecule: ribosomal RNA, 399 nt
Filed under: uncultured bacterium
Lineage: Bacteria
Description: partial 16S ribosomal RNA
Rfam family: Bacterial small subunit ribosomal RNA
Source: RNAcentral